GUUGAACAAUCAACUCCUAUUUCAAAAAAAUGGUUUUUGGGUUUAAUCAAUGGGAAGAUGGAAAAUUGCUUUUGAAGGUUCCUUGGUAUUGUCCUAGGGAAAGUUGAGCCAGCUGAUUGCCAGCAUGGGGCCCAAGGUUCUGAUGUGAUUACUUUCUUCAAGAAUCAGAAUGACUGCAGCCUCUUCACCUAAAUUUCAUAAUGAAGCAACAAAAGCCAAGAGCCCUCUCAGCACACUAAGUGGAAGAAGCUCCUUGGCAUGUAUGGGAAUAAAUCUGACAACCUAUCUGGACUAAGGCAUCACUCAAGCUAUCGCUAUAGAGAAAGAAAGAUGGUCACAGAUUCAGGUAAUUAAGGGGUAAGCCUCUAGUAUUUGGAGUUCCUCUCUUCUUUUAGGCCAAAUCCCAGAGCAGCAGAUCGCCACCUGAUCUUGGUCUUCUCAAAGUUGCACCUCGCACUGAGCUGAGCAUUAGAUAGGAAUUCAAUCAGUUUUGGCCAAUGGAGGAGUCUCUAUUUGAAGUAGAUCAAGCCUCUGUACUUAGGGCCUAUGUCGCUCUGCUCUGAAAGGCCCAUACAGUGCCUAUUCUAUGUGAACUUGUGUCCAAAAGAACUAAUACUCAGAAGAAGCUGACUGAGGGGAGAGAGAAGACAAGCCAUUGCGGACAGAGCCCAGAGUAAGAAUUAAAGUGAGAGGUGGGACUGAGCAGUGUGUGCAGCUAAGAAAAUGAUUCCAGGCUGGGAGUGAAUGAGAGUCAAGAGAAAUGAGAUAAUACCUCUUCCUGGAUGGUGCUAGAAAGUGCUGGGUGUCCACCCUCACCUUUCAUCAGAGAAAUCACAGUCAUCAUUAGUGCAAACAGAGAUCUUCUCCUGCAGUAUUUAACCAGGGAUCUAUGCCCCUUUCUAUAAAUGGAGAGAGAUAAGUAGGGAGAAAAGGUUAGGCCACCAUUUAUCAGACAAAUUAGUAUGUGCCAGACAAUUUACUAAAUACUGUAUCAAAAGUAUACUCAUUGAAUUCAUAGAGCAAUUCUAUUGAUACAUUCAUUUAUUCAUUCAAACUAACUAUAGUCAGCAUUCAGUUGUCCUGGGCACU
Molecule: long non-coding RNA, 1089 nt
Filed under: Callithrix jacchus (white-tufted-ear marmoset)
Lineage: Eukaryota; Metazoa; Chordata; Mammalia; Primates; Cebidae
Description: lncRNA (ENSCJAG00000077762.1)
Source: RNAcentral